This 253-nucleotide ribosomal RNA is filed under the name uncultured bacterium. Its description in RNAcentral is "partial 16S ribosomal RNA". It matches the Rfam family "Bacterial small subunit ribosomal RNA", at positions 524 to 776 of the family's 1533-position model. The record is from RNAcentral.
GACGUAGGAGGCGAGCGUUGUCCGGAUUCAUUGGGCGUAAAGAGCGCGCAGGCGGCUUGGUAAGUCGGAUGUGAAAUCCCGAGGCUCAACCUCGGGUCUGCAUCCGAUACUGCCCGGCUAGAGGUAGGUAGGGGAGAUCGGAAUUCCUGGUGUAGCGGUGAAAUGCGCAGAUAUCAGGAGGAACACCGGUGGCGAAGGCGGGUCUCUGGGCCGAUACUGACGCUGAGGAGCGAAGGCGUGGGGAGCGAACAGG